This 259-nucleotide ribosomal RNA is filed under the name uncultured bacterium. Its description in RNAcentral is "partial 16S ribosomal RNA". It matches the Rfam family "Bacterial small subunit ribosomal RNA", at positions 80 to 339 of the family's 1533-position model. The record is from RNAcentral.
UCGGUUAUUAAGACGGUGGCGGACGGGUGAGUAACGCGUGGGCAACCUACCCUAUGCAGGGGGAUAACAUGGAGAAAUCCAUGCUAAUACCGCAUAAGACCAUAGUGUCACAUGACACAGUGGUAAAAGCCUUGACGGCAUAGGAUGGGCCCGCGUCGCAUUAGCUAGUUGGUAAGGUAACGGCUUACCAAGGCGACGAUGCGUAGCCGACCUGAGAGGGUGAUCGGCCACAUUGGAACUGAGACACGGUCCAAACUCC